Molecule: long non-coding RNA, 326 nt
Filed under: Struthio camelus australis
Lineage: Eukaryota; Metazoa; Chordata; Aves; Struthioniformes; Struthionidae
Description: lncRNA (ENSSCUG00000016013.1)
Source: RNAcentral
UCACAGCCUCUUAUCAGUAUCAUUCAGUAUUGAGAGACCAGGCAACCAUGAUGCUCACCUCCAAAUCUCACUGACUGUAUUUUCAAGUGCACAACUAAAUCCUGCCAGAUGAAGCCUCCUACCAGCACUGUAGGAAGAAGGCAUGUGCUGAUCCCUGGGAGUUUCAUCUCAGGAAGGUCCUGUGGUUUCUGCCCUCAACAAACACAGUUUUGUGACAAACUCACCAGCAAAAUGAAAACAUGAAUGUUAUCACUUUUGCCAGUUUCCAAUGUGCUACCAGUGACAUUUUUUUCCCCUAAAUAUCAAUAAACAUAAAUUCGAAGGCA